GACGAAGGUAGCAAGCGUUGUUCGGAAUCACUGGGCAUAAAGGGCGCGCAGGCGGCGCUGUAUGUCGGGUGUGAAAUCCCCUGGCUCAACCAGGGAACUGCGCCCGAAACUGCGGUGCUAGAGUGCAGAAAGGGAGAGCGGAAUUCCUGGUGGAGCGGUGAAAUGCUUAGAUAUCAGGAGGAACACCGGUGGCGAAGGCGGCUCUCUGGUCUGCUACUGACGCUGAGGCGCGAAAGCCAGGGGAGCGAACGGGAUUAGAUACCCCCGUA
This 269-nucleotide ribosomal RNA is filed under the name uncultured prokaryote. RNAcentral's name for it is "partial 16S ribosomal RNA". It matches the Rfam family "Bacterial small subunit ribosomal RNA", at positions 524 to 792 of the family's 1533-position model. The record is from RNAcentral.